Molecule: unclassified non-coding RNA, 225 nt
Filed under: Hevea brasiliensis (rubber tree)
Lineage: Eukaryota; Viridiplantae; Streptophyta; Magnoliopsida; Malpighiales; Euphorbiaceae
Source: RNAcentral
AGACGUUCUCGGCGGAUGGUGUGACCAUCACCAUCCAGGGCGUCAGCAUCCAUCCGGGCUUCGCCAAGGGGAAGAUGGAGCACGCGCUCAAGAUCGCCUCCCGCAUCGUCGACCGGCUGCCGAAGGACCUUGCCCCGGAAACCACCGAGGGCCGUGAAGGCUUCCUGCAUCCGGUCGGGCUUCAGGGCGGCCUCGACAGCGCCGUGCUGUCGCUGAUCGUGCGUG